Molecule: ribosomal RNA, 468 nt
Filed under: uncultured bacterium
Lineage: Bacteria
Description: partial 16S ribosomal RNA
Rfam family: Bacterial small subunit ribosomal RNA
Source: RNAcentral
GACGAACGCUGGCGGCGUGCUUAACACAUGCAAGUCGAACGGACAGGCCCUGCUUUUGUGGGGUGCUCGAGUGGCGAACGGGUGAGUAACACGUGAGUAACCUGCCCUUGACUUUGGGAUAACUUCAGGAAACUGGGGCUAAUACCGGAUAGGAGCUCCUGCUGCAUGGUGGGGGUUGGAAAGUUUCGGCGGUUGGGGAUGGACUCGCGGCUUAUCAGCUUGUUGGUGGGGUAGUGGCUUACCAAGGCUUUGACGGGUAGCCGGCCUGAGAGGGUGACCGGGCACAUUGGGACUGAGAUACGGCCCAGACUCCUACGGGAGGCAGCAGUGGGGAAUAUUGCACAAUGGGCGGAAGCCUGAUGCAGCAACGCCGCGUGCGGGAUGACGGCCUUCGGGUUGUAAACCGCUUUCGCCUGUGACGAAGCGUGAGUGACGGUAAUGGGUAAAGAAGCACCGGCUAACUACGUG